Molecule: ribosomal RNA, 253 nt
Filed under: uncultured bacterium
Lineage: Bacteria
Description: partial 16S ribosomal RNA
Rfam family: Bacterial small subunit ribosomal RNA
Source: RNAcentral
UACGUAGGGCGCAAGCGUUGUCCGGAAUUAUUGGGCGUAAAGAGCUCGUAGGCGGUUUGUCGCGUCUGCUGUGAAAUCCCGAGGCUCAACCUCGGGCUUGCAGUGGGUACGGGCAGACUAGAGUGCGGUAGGGGAGACUGGAAUUCCUGGUGUAGCGGUGGAAUGCGCAGAUAUCAGGAGGAACACCGAUGGCGAAGGCAGGUCUCUGGGCCGCAACUGACGCUGAGGAGCGAAAGCGUGGGGAGCGAACAGG